Molecule: ribosomal RNA, 534 nt
Filed under: uncultured archaeon
Lineage: Archaea
Description: bacterial SSU rRNA
Rfam family: Archaeal small subunit ribosomal RNA (bases 168-534)
Source: RNAcentral
UUCCGGUUGAUCCUGCCGGACCCGACUGCUAUCAGAAUAGGACUAAGCCAUGCGAGUCAACGUAGCAAUACGUGGCAUACGGCUCAGUAACACGUAGUCAACAUGCCCAGGGGACGUGGAUAACCUCGGGAAACUGAGGAUAAACCGCGAUAGACCAUAAUGUCUGGAUUCCGGUUGAUCCCGCCGGACCCGACUGCUAUCAGAGUAGGACUAAGCCAUGCGAGUCAACGUAUGAAUAAUACGUGGCGAACGGCUCAGUAACACGUAGUCAACAUGCCCAAAGGACGUGGAUAACCUCGGGAAACUGAGGAUAAACCGCGAUAGGUCAUAAUUACUGGAAUGUGUUAUGGCUCAAAUCUAUAUGGCCUUUGGAUUGGACUGCGGCCGAUCAGGCUGUUGGUGAGGUAAUGGCCCACCAAACCUGUAACCGGUACGGGCUCUGAGAGGAGGAGCCCGGAGAUGGGCACUGAGACAAGGGCCCAGGCCCUAUGGGGCGCAGCAGGCGCGAAAACUCUGNCAUAGGCGAAAGCCUGA